Molecule: small nucleolar RNA, 216 nt
Organism: Pelodiscus sinensis (Chinese soft-shelled turtle)
Lineage: Eukaryota; Metazoa; Chordata; Testudines; Trionychidae
Rfam family: Small nucleolar RNA U3
About the family: Small nucleolar RNAs (snoRNAs) are involved in the processing and modification of rRNA in the nucleolus.
Source: Rfam
AAGACUGUACUUUCAGGGAUCAUUUCUAUAGUUGGUAUCUAGAGAAAAGUAGCUGAAAGUGGUUGGUCUUGCUAACUAUGAGGAUGAGUGAUAGUGUUCUCUUCUGAGCAUGAAGCAAGCAGACAGUGUUGCUUUAAUGUCAUUGCUGUCUGCUGUUGAUGAUUGUUCCUUCUUUCCUGUUGAGAAGCUGGAAGAAGAGAGCACAGGCUGAGUGGU